This 100-nucleotide ribosomal RNA is filed under the name Closterium acutum. Its description in RNAcentral is "4.5S ribosomal RNA". Lineage: Eukaryota; Viridiplantae; Streptophyta; Zygnematophyceae; Desmidiales; Closteriaceae. The record is from RNAcentral.
AGAGGUCACGGCAAGACCAGCCGUUAUUUACGAUAGGUGCCAGGUACAAGCGCAGCAAUGUGUGUAGCCGAGGCAUCCUAACAGACCGAGAGGUUUGAAC